AUAAUACUCCCUCUAUCCGGAAUUACUUGUCAUAAAAAUGGAUGUGUCUAGAACUAAAAUACAUCUGGAUACAUCCAUUGCAAUGACAAGUAUUUUCGGACGGAGGGAGUAGUAG
Triticum aestivum (bread wheat) is the source of this 115-nucleotide non-coding RNA. Lineage: Eukaryota; Viridiplantae; Streptophyta; Magnoliopsida; Poales; Poaceae. The record is from Rfam.